Molecule: long non-coding RNA, 1386 nt
Filed under: Erythranthe guttata (spotted monkey flower)
Lineage: Eukaryota; Viridiplantae; Streptophyta; Magnoliopsida; Lamiales; Phrymaceae
Description: long non-coding RNA (EGUT_LNC000528)
Source: RNAcentral
UUUUUUUUUUCCCCUGAAUAUGUGUUUUUUUCCCGCACAUUAAUUUCUCCGUGUUCUUUUUUCAGUGGUGUAUUUGCUGGAUAUGUACUACUUUGCUCGAGUGCAUUGUUUUUGCCGGAUAUGAUUUUUUUUUUUCUUUUCCACAUGUACAGUAUUUUGUCUGCAUUUGUUCUAUCUUCUUGAGUCUUCUGGGUUAGUCACGUUCUGUAAUGGUUAUAUAUUCUUCUGCAACCUUCCUUCCUUGAAUUUCCUUCUUUUUUUUAAUUCUUUUGGUGCAGCUGUUAGUGUUUUUUUUAUGACACUGCCCGGUAAAUUAUUUUGGCUUCUGCAAUCCUGGAAAAUAUUUUAAUGUUCAUAUAUUUAGAGUUUAUUUGAGAAACCCUAGAUUUUUUUGGGAUAAAUUUUUUUGACACGCAAUCUCUCCUAUUCUCCAUAACCGUCUUCGAGCAACUGUAAAUCUCAUCACGUUUCUUCCUCACCCCCACUUCUUUUUCAGUUUUCCUUUUCCUUUGGGUCUAUAAAGGAUCGGCAUUUGUGGACAUAAUCAUUCACACAUAUCUUUUUGGAGAUUCCCCUGCAGAAAAUCUCUCUAUUUUCCCGGUUAUUCCAAUUUUUUUUUAAUAUGUAAGCAAUGUUUUCUAUAUCAUCAACCAAAUAUCUUACUCUACACAAAAUUAUAUACACAAAUAUGUAAUCAAUGUAUAUGUUUCAAAUGUAUUUUAGUUUUAUUGGGGCUGAGCCCCAGAAAAAGUUAUCUUUUUUCUUUUCUCCAUCAAGAUGUAGUCUUUAGCAAAUAUAAUUCUAUAUUUGGUUAAUAUAGAACCGCGAUGAAGAGGCUCUGAGUAUAUAAUUUUUUUCUUAUUUGGUUCAUCCUUCAAUAUAUAUUGUGAAAACAGGUAAGUUACUAAAUGAAUUUUUUUUGCGGUGUAAAAAAAAUUCAGGCGAGAUAUUGUGGAUUUACUUAGUAGGAUAGGAAAGUUAAAGAAGAAACCAUAAUCAUCAAUUAGUAGCAGCGAUAGGUUUAGAUUUCUAUUAUUUGAUUUAUGUUAACACCUUUGAGAAGUUUGUGAAUAUAUGGUUCUUUUUUUUAACAGUACCGAAAUAAGGGGUCUUUUUUUUCUUCCGUACAGCUACUUGGCUUUUACAAGUUUCGAAUACAUUAACUUUCGUUGUGCAGAAUUGAGUCAUCGCUCAAAAGUCUUCUGAGAGAGCUCUAUGGAUCAGCUCCUGGGCGGACAAACGGGAAUUUGGAUUUUUUGAAUAUUUAUUUCUAAAAUUUGUAAAUAUUUACUUUUACAAACUUUUACAUAUAACUGUGGUUGUUGGUUUACAACAGCUAAGCCAAUAACUUUUUUUAUAUUCUUUUAAAAUGUUAUUUUUAAUUUG